RNAcentral lists this unclassified non-coding RNA (244 nucleotides) under Hymenoscyphus serotinus. Its description in RNAcentral is "partial contains 5.8S ribosomal RNA, internal transcribed spacer 2, and large subunit ribosomal RNA". The record is from RNAcentral. Lineage: Eukaryota; Fungi; Ascomycota; Leotiomycetes; Helotiales; Helotiaceae.
CGCACAUUGCGCCCCUUGGUAUUCCGGGGGGCAUGCCUGUUCGAGCGUCAUUUCAACCCCUCAAGCUUUGCUUGGUAUUGGGCUCUGCCGGCGACGGCUUGCCUUAAAAUCAGUGGCGGUGCUAUUCGAGCUCUACGCGUAGUAACUAAAACCCUCGCGAUUGAGUUUUUGAUAAGCGCUGGCCAGCAACCCUUAACAUUCUAUGGUUGACCUCGGAUCAGGUAGGGAUACCCGCUGAACUUAA